AAAUAUCAUUCUUAUGCAUGUUGCUUUCUAGUAAAUAUUAGUGUUUUUUAUUUACAUAGAAGAUGCUUAUUGAAAUUUGAUUGACUUGUAUAUGUUCCUAAGGCCACCGAUAAUAGCUCUUGCCAGCAAAUCUGAAAUAUCCACCUCGAACAAUGUGGUUAAGUAUUAUCUAACAUGUUAAAAUGGAUAUUCUCAGGCUGCUGUGCUGGCUAUGGAUGAAUCAAUAUUAGAUGUAGAUCAGGUGGAAAAUCUCAUUAAGUUUUGUCCUACCAAAGAAGAGAUGGAACUUUUGAAGGGAUACACUGGUGACAAAGAGAAUUUGGGAAAAUGCGAACAGCUGAUGAAGGUGCCACGAGUAGAGUCAAAGUUAAGAGUAUUCUCUUUCAAGAUUCAAUUUCUGUCUCAGGUUACAGAAUUUAAGAAGAGUUUAAAAACUGUGAACUCUGCUUGUGAAGAGGUCCGAAAGUCUGUCAAGCUUAAGAUCAUGAAGAAAAUUCUUUUUUAUUGGGUAAUACAUUAAAUCAAGGAACAGCUAGGGGAUCCGUAAUUGGAUUCAAGUAGGAUAGUCUUUUAAAGCUUACUGACACUCGUGCUUCUAACAAUAAGAUGACACUGAUGCACUAUCUUUGCAAGGUUCUAGCUGAUAGGUCGCCUGGACUGCUCGACUUCCACUUAGACCUUGUAAGCCUGGAAGCUGCGACUAAGGAGAGUUUAACUUUUCAAAUGUGAAGAGAAUAGGGAAACUUUGUGGCAACAGUUCUGAUUUUGGCAUUGUGGUGGGAGGCAGGGGAUUUUUGUCUAGCUGCUAGGGUGAUGAUUUUUUAAAUUAUAGCUCUUUAUCUUACGGUUUAUAGCUUAUACUUUUUUUAUCUUUGAAUUCUAAUUUUGGAUUUGUGAAACACUACUAUGCAUUGGUGAAACUUGUACACGGUACAGAAAGGAUUAAUGAUAUCAGUCAUUGAUAGUUU
This is a non-coding RNA of Arachis ipaensis, 968 nucleotides long. The record is from RefSeq and is a predicted model, not a curated record. NCBI's taxonomy places the organism in Eukaryota, Viridiplantae, Streptophyta, Magnoliopsida, Fabales, Fabaceae.